GCCCCCACACCUACACCCGCACCCGCACCCACUCCUUGUCCUCCCCGCACCCGCCACCUGCAUCCCAGCUUAGCCUGCCAGGGACCGCAGGCUGGAUCGCCCCAGACAGGCCUCGUCCUCUCGAGGACGACGCCUUUCCACCUGGCUCCCAGACUUCCAGAUAUCUGCAGCACAAGAAAGCCGAUCCGUCACGCCGUCCACACUGCAGCCGGCGGCCACCGCAGGUGCUACAGCCCCUCUCCCUGUGCUGGGAGCGGCAGUGACAGCGGACGCAUGGCCGCCUCUCAGGCAAGGACCCUUUGUAAAUGAUGGGGGCGCAACCCGCCCACCGCCCCGGAGAGAAAACCCAGACGGGCCUCAGCCCAUCAGCUCCGCUGCCGGUGACCCUCCCCGUCCGGCCCGUCCAGGGCCAUAGCCCAAAACUGAGGAGACACGCGGUGCCACCCUCGGCCAGCUACAGAAACGGGGGACCCCGGGGAGGGGCGGGGGGAGGAAAUGGGUUAUGGUAAAGCCCAGGAAGAAGUUGUGGGUACUCACCGUUCAAGUGUGUUCCCUGCAGACACGGUCCUCAGCCCACGGAGGACCGUGGGAGCUCAGUCCAGUUAAGGUGGGGUCGCUGGAUGGGCCCUCGUCCUGUAUGACUUUCCCUGGAGGAAGGGGGGGUCCACGCCAGGCACCAAGGUCUCCACAGAAACCAAGCCUUCUCAUUCCUUGGCUUUGGACCUCCAGCCUCCAGAAGUGAAACAGAGAAAUUUCUGUUGUCUAAGCCCCCCGUGUGGUGGUUUGUCACCGCGGCCCGAGUGCACAGACACGGCCACCGUAGCUGUCACAGCAGAAGCUGGUGGCAGCCCCAGCCGCCUCCCCCAGGUCUGAUUCCAUGUACCUUUCCCCCCAACCAGGGUGUGAGCUGCCUGGGACCUUCUGUCUCGUGUUCACCUUGUUCUGCGCCUGGGGGGCUGGGCCUUUGUCACGGGCGAACAGGGGGCCACCUCCUCACCCCCCACCCCCACCCCCAGGGUAGCAAGAGCCCCGGUGCCCUUGUUCACCAGCUGAGAUCACUGGAAGGUGACGCCUGGGGUCUGUGGGUUACGCAAGACAUCUGACGGGUCAGUUGGAGCAUUUGUGUCGCCUGGGGAAGCAUCCUUCCGCAGAGCCCAAGAGCACAGAGAAAGGAAGGAAAUGCUUUGCUGGUGAGUCCCCGGCCGCCAAGGGAGGGAGUUCUGCUGGCUGCUGGCACCUACCUCCCACAAUCUCCAGCCCAACAAGGGCAGAAAAGCCCCUCGCUGCAGGGCCAGUGUCGGCUGCCCAGGCCAGGACAUCCCCCCCACCCCGGUCCCCCAGUGCCGUGACCGUCCCUCAAUCGCCGACACCGCUAUCCUAACAGGGCACCAUCCGUAGGACCGCAUGGCAGGACUCGAGAAUCCCGGGUCACUGGCCGCUGGGUCUCCUUCCCUCCCAUCUUGGUCAGCUCAGGCCCUAACAAAACACCUGACUGGGGUGGACACAAGGGGCCUUCGUUCCUCGUCGUUCAGGAGCCCAAGAAGUCUGAGGUCGGGGCGCCAGCACGUCCCUGUCUGGUGGGACCCACCUCCUGGCUCACAGAAGGUUCUAGUAUCUUCCUUUAAGGGGCUCCACCUCCAUGACCUCACCUCAACCUAAUCACCUCCAGAGGCCCCCCUCCAAAUACCGUCACCUCCGGGGGGUAGGGCUUCAAAGUAUGGACCUGAGGACACAAACCCUCAGCCCAUGGUGCCCCUUGGCCGUGAGUUUCUGGGUCAGAAACUAUUCGUGCAUUUUCAAUGCGUUUGGGCCAAGGGUCGCCCACGGGUGCAGCUGCUGGACAAAACAGGGCGUGUAUCCGUGACUGGCACUUACUGUGCCCUCCCUUCGCCCCCCUCCCCCAAGCAGGUCAGGGAGAACCACCCUGAGGCCACCAGGAGGCGCCAGGGGGCUGGGCCACCGCUGGCCCAACACACCUGCGUCAGACUGCCCACCACCUCGCACAGCCUCCAGCUGUGAGCAGGACAGACGGAGCCCGGAGCCCCGGUCUGCUGUGCCCUGCCCCGUCACCUCAUGGGACUCCCUCUGGCACUCAGCCCGACCUGCCAGACCUAUCCCCCCCCCCCACUGCCCCACCUGCCUCUCCCACUGGAGUGCGAGCAGGGCAGAGUCCCCGAUUGUGUUGACCUGAACCCCAGGCACAACACCGGACAUCUCAUUGAUGUUGGCGAUGCUGACAGCAAGAGAGUGGGGAACAGCACAGAGACGGGGCGGCGGGGGGGGGGCCGUGAGGUCUGAGCCACGUCUCCCUUAGAAAUACUGCCCUUCCUCCUCCUCCCCACCUGCCCCAGAAGUUCCUGGGAAGCGAUUUCAACACAUGGUACCCGGGCUGCGUGAAAGCAGACGCACUCAUGCACUUUGGCAUCUGGGAGUCAGGGGUUCGAAUUCGAGCCUGGGCCUUUCUGAUGGGCGUGAGGACCCCACCCGGGGGUCCUUCCCUCAGGGAGACCUCACAGAAGUGCAGGGGCCUCCCGCACCCCGCGUGCGAGGCCACGGGACCCAGGAGGUGCCCUGUUCCCUUGGCAGAAACAUCCAGAGCAACUGACUGCCACCGCAGGCAAUGUCCCCUUAAGGUUAAUCAUUCAGCGGCACUAGAGUUUGACCAGGGAAUCCGGUAAAACCGCAUCUUCUUAUGUGUAGAACGAGGCCAGGGUUACGGGAUGAGGAUGAGCCAAAUAUUAGCUUUCAGAUAUGCUGCCUAGGACGGCCUUCCAGACCUGAGCGGUGUGGCCCACGUGGAAGUUGCUCUGAGGUCAAGCAAACACACUGAACCCUGGUGAGCGGCGAACUUCGACCCACUUUGUGGAAGAUUCCUACAGAACUGAGCUGAGCUCGCUCUGUGUUUUCACGUCCCUGACUCAUCCGUGUGACGGUACGACCUUCCCGGGGAGUUCAGGUCAGAUGUGCCUCGGUUCACCUGGCGAUUUUCACCUCUGGCACUGAGAUCACAUUUAGGAAAAAAAAAAAAAAAAGAAAAAAAAAAGAAAAAAGACAGUGUGUCUGCUGAAGUCCAAAGUCCAGAAUUCAAGUUCCCCACCGCCAGCUCCAGGCGGACAAGAGGCACCAUCGUGGAAAGCUCAUGGAGCUUGCUGGGGGCCACGCAGGGAAAACAAGAGGCGACCCCGGGCCAUGACCAGGAGGAAACGUUCAUGGCGCAUCAGAGCUUGAAUGUGGUCACUAAAAACUUCAAGUCCUGCGUGUGGCUCCGGUGAUAUUUCGAGUUCCUUUUUCCUCAUGCCGGGGUCUCGUGGGAGAGGGAUUCCAUCGCCGGCUGUCCUAUUGCAUGUUGCACCUGCUGGACAUGUUUGAUUACUUCCUGAGAGUGUCCCUGGGUUACAUGCCUUAAUCCUUGCAUUUCCAGGCUUGAUGGGAUUCAGGUUCCAGAUGUGGGUGGACCCUUCACCAGCUGUUUACUUGAAGCAUCACACCGGGAGGCAUGAAAAAACAUGGCAAGUUUACUGCUAGAGAAGAUUGCUUCUACCGUGUGAGGCAUCACAGACCUGCCUGCCAGGAAACCCUCCACAGGACCCCCACGGAGGACCCCCCUACCCACACAAGCACUGCCCUGGAUAUGGUGUGUAUGGACUGCCUACACAACACCGGCCCACAUGGGUGCGGUGUAACUAAGGGCCAGCUUCCCCCCUCCUCUGACUUCAAUCUGUCUGAGCUCACAGUUCCUGUUCCUCAUAGUCAACAGGGAAGCCCUGUGUGUGACCGUCAUUUCUGGACUUUGAGAACUCCGGGCGUAUGAGGUUCUGGCUUGAUGCUAGGCCCUUGCAGCCUCUUCCGGAAACCUGGGACCCAAGCCAGCGAUGUUUCAUUUUUACCUUUCCAUACGCUGUCCGUGUAGGGACCGGGUGAGGUUUCUAGGCCUUUCUAGAAUUUCAGGAAAUAAUGUAGCUGGGUCUCUUGCCUCCUGCUGUGUUCUCUUAUACAUGAGACCAUAUUACCUGCUCCGUAGUUGAAGUAGGAAAGGUACAUAUUUACAUGGAAGAAGUCCGAAUUGUGGCAACAUGAAAUAAAGAAAGCACGGCUCUUAGAGAAAGAGAGCCAGAUUCAGAUCUCGGGGAAGCUGCUGCUUAGCAGAGCGUUAUUCCUUUUAUAUAUUCCUUUAAUUAAAUCCUCUAGCUCCUACCUUCCACGCAAUGGGAACUUAACAGAAGCCUCGAAGAUCCAAGUGUGGCCCAACUGUGGCAAGCAGAAUGUUCAGACGCUGGCCUGGCGGUGACACCAGGAACUGGGGACAGGAGCCCUCAGUAGUGUUUCUCCACGCGCUGUCACUGACCAGCUUUCAGAGGCUCCCCUCCAGAUCUCCUGAAGCUCUAAGCUUGCGGGGGUCUAGGAAUCUGCAGAGGAUUCUUCUGAUCCACCGCUCCUGAGGAAAAGAAAAUACUAGGAGUUCAUUCAUUUAUUCCUUCACCUUGAAGCACCAGCUGAACAUAACCGACCUUCCUGUGUUAUUCUGGGAUGGCAGUGCUGCCUAUUCAGACAACUUUCAAACAAGAUCAAGGUCAGGUGUGACCCACGGAGAUCCUGAGCAGAAAAUGAAUCUGAUUCAAAGGCCUGCUGUUUUACUUCUCAAAGGCAUUUCUUUAAUGCCAUUUAAAAAGAUUUUUUUUUUUUUUUUGAGAGAGAGAGAGUGAGCCGAGGAGGGGCAGAGAGAGAGAGGAGAAAGAAUCCCAAGCAGGCUCUGCACUGUCAGCAGAAAUCAAGAGUCGGAGGUUCACUGACUGAGCCACCCAGCGCCCCUGAUGUUUAUUUUCGAUAGCGUAUGUUUCCUGUACAAAUUUCAAUAGGAAUAAAAAAAAGUAUACGGUGAAAAGGCAGUUUCUCUCCAGCCCUCUGCACUUGGACAUCUUUUGAGGCAGUCCCUGCUAACACGUCCCUUUCAACUUUGGAAACAAACUUACAGAUUUUCUCUGUCCCCAUGCACAAAUGAGUAGCACACUUUACACACGACUCUGCCCCUUGAUUUUUCUUACACAUUUUAGAGCUCUUUCCAUACCGGCACACACAGAGCACCCUUCCCCUUCCGAGCUGCUUACAUGAUUCAGUGGAAUGGAUGCAGCGUGAUCUAACUCUCCCUGUGG
Molecule: long non-coding RNA, 5150 nt
Organism: Felis catus (domestic cat)
Lineage: Eukaryota; Metazoa; Chordata; Mammalia; Carnivora; Felidae
Exons: 4
Source: RefSeq, a predicted model, not a curated record